GUGUCACCUGUGCAACCAAUCCGGGCAUUGGAUGCCAGACUGUCCCCUGAGGCGGGAGUUUUACGAAUUUAAAAAGAAACAUCGGCCUCAGGGGACCCCACAACACCAACCAAAAAACUAAAUUGCAAGCGCGCCUCCUCCCCGCGCCACGAUAAAAAUAGGGCAGGUGUCACCAUUCCACCACGCGGGGAAAAGGGAAGGGAGGGGGACCUCCAGCAGGACCUGCCGGUUGCCACAGACUCUAAAACUUUACCAGACUUAACUUCUCACGAACCUAUUUCUGAUCUUUUUCAGGCGGUACCUCGGCCAGUCCUAACAACCACUUCCAGGACGACCCCCUUUCGGUUGCAGUUGACGGAGCCGCUCCAUCUUAUUGACUCAAAUAUCCAACUCGUCUCCGUCAGUCCGGAGUGCCCAGAAAGCCCGAGAAUGUCCAUCCCCAUAACCCACAUCGAGCUGAUCAUUUUCUGGAACUUUUUUGCCAUCGCGAGCUCAUGGAUUGUCCCUCAACCCAAGCAAAACAUUUGGAAGAUGCUCGCUGGCGCCCUCGGCAGAGAUCAUUUGUGUCUCUCCGCCACCUCGGCAGCAGACCCCUUGUCGACCUGCCUUGUGGGGAUCCCGCUUCCUCCAAAAGAGUUUCCCGAGCCCCUUUACUCCUUCCUUGAACCCCUUUCCCAAAAUAAAGUUUUCAGUCCCUCUAGUCCCAAUCCCAAUCCAAUCUGGAGGAGGCUAAUGUCCAAAUUGAAUAUAUCUAAAUCUGACCCCACCGAAUUUAAAUUGCUCGGCUCCGCGUCAGCAAAUUUGUGUGUUCAAUUUUUCCCUUCCCGCGACCGCUACGAAAAAUCUUUUACACCAAUUAUAGAACAGAAUCAAAACUACGCGGCAGGGAAUUGGUGUUCUGUCA
Long non-coding RNA from Passer domesticus (house sparrow), 904 nucleotides. RefSeq lists it as uncharacterized. The transcript is spliced from 2 exons. The record is from RefSeq and is a predicted model, not a curated record. NCBI's taxonomy places the organism in Eukaryota, Metazoa, Chordata, Aves, Passeriformes, Passeridae.